UCUUGCUUGUAUUAUUCAUUUUAACAUUAAUUUAUAUGUAAAUGUUUGUAAUUUAAAUUUUCUAAAGGAUUAUUUUUAUAAUUUAGCAGUAGAUAAUUUUAUUGUUAUUAAGUAAGUUUAGAUUUGGUAAAUGUUAUUUAGGUUUGGUGAAAGUUGUGCCAGCAUCCGCGGUUAUACAGCAAAAUCAAAUGAAUAUUAUUAGCUUUUAAGUAAUUAUUAAUUAAUAUAUCUAUAGAAAUUGAAAUAUUAUAAGGUGAAAUAUUUAAUAUUUUGAGGAAUAUAUUUUUAGUAAGAUUGUUAUGAAAUUAAAAAUCUAAACUAGGAUUAGAUACCCUAUUAUUUUUAUCGUAAAAUUUUAAGCUGGAGUAUUAGUAGAUAUGAUCUUGAAACUUAAAGAAUUUGGCGGCAUUAUAGUCUAUUUAGAGGAAUCUGUUAAGUAAUCGAUAAUCCACGUUGAACCUUACUUAUAUUAUUUCUUGUAUACCGUUGUUUAAUGAAUAUACUUUUAGGUAGAUUUUCUAAAUAUAAAAAUAUUUAAUAUUUCAAAUCAAGGUGCAGUAAUGUAUAAGUUGAGUAAUGGAUUACAAUAAAUUGUAUUUAUUAUGGAUUUUUAUUGGGAUAUAAUUUGAAGGUGGAUUUAAUUGUAAUUUUAUAUAGAUUAUUAAAAUGAUUUAUAGCUCUAUGGUGUGUACACAUCGCCCGUCACUCUCGUUAUAAGAUGAGAUAAGUCGUAACAAAGUAAGUGUAUCGGAAGAUGUACUUAGAAAGUAAA
This 772-nucleotide non-coding RNA is filed under the name Galinthias amoena. Lineage: Eukaryota; Metazoa; Arthropoda; Insecta; Mantodea; Hymenopodidae. The record is from RNAcentral.